This is a long non-coding RNA of Oncorhynchus tshawytscha (Chinook salmon), 1328 nucleotides long. Lineage: Eukaryota; Metazoa; Chordata; Actinopteri; Salmoniformes; Salmonidae. The record is from Ensembl.
CUCCCUCCCUCCGCGCCAUACUCCACUCCCCCUUCUUCUCCUUUCUCUGUCGGCCCAUGCUUGAUCGUUCCUUUGAAGAGCAGUGAAGGCAGCAGCAGCUGUUCAUCAAGGUGAGACACACAGAGAGAGAGAGAGAGAGAGAGGUCUGUGAGACAAUAUGAGAGAGAGAGAAUCUGUCUGUGAGACAUUAUGAGAGAGAGAGAGAGAGAGAGAUCUGUCUGUGAGACAUGAGAGAGAGAGAGAGAGGUCUGUCUGUGAGACAUUAUGAGAGAGAGAGAGAGAGGUCUGUCUGUGAGACAUUAUGAGAGAGAGAGAGAGAGGUCUGUCUGUGAGACAUUAUGAGAGAGAGAGAGGUCUGUCUGUGAGACAUUAUGAGAGAGAGAGAGAUCUGUGAGACACAUUAUGAGAGAGAGAGAGGUCUGUCUGUGAGACAUUAUGAGAGAGAGGUCUGUCUAUGAGACAUUAUGAGAGAGAGAGAGGUCUGUCUAUGAGACAUUAUGAGAGAGAGAGAGGUCUGUGAGACACAUUAUGAGAGAGAGAUCUGUCUGUGAGACACAUUAUGAGAGAGAGAUCUGUCUGUGAGACACAUUAUGAGAGAGAGAGAGAUCUGUGAGACACAUUAUGAGAGAGAGAUCUGUCUGUGAGACACAUUAUGAGAGACUGAUCUGUCUGUGAGACACACUAUGAGAGAGAGAUCUGUCUGUGAGACACACUAUGAGAGAGAGGUCUGUCUGUGAGACACAUUGUGAGAGAGAGGUCUGUCUGUGAGACACAUUAUGAGAGUGAGAGAUCUGUCUGUGAGACACAUUAUGAGAGAGAGAGAUCUGUCUGUGAGACACAUGAGAGAGAUAGAUCUGUCGGUGAGACAUAUUAUGAGAGAGAGAGUCUGUCUAUGAGACAUUAUGAGAGAGAGAGAGGUCUGUGAGACACAUUAUGAGAGAGAGAUCUGUCUGUGAGACACAUUAUGAGAGAGAGAGAGAUCUGUCUGUGAGACACACUAUGAGAGAGAGAGAGAGGUCUGUCUGUGAGACACAUUAUGAGAGAGAGAGAGAUCUGUCUGUGAGACACAUUAUGAGAGAGAGACUGCCCUGUCAGAGAGAGAGAGAGAGAGAGACAGAGAGAGAGAGGAGAGACAGAGAGAGAGAGAGACAGAGAGAGAGAGAGAGAGAGACAGAGAGAGAGAGUAGAGAGAGAGAGCACACAUACCUCAGCAUAAACAUCAGCACCACAGGUAACUUCCCCAAAGCUGUGAACGAUCGGAGACAGAAGAAGAGCUUUCUACACCAUCAAAAGGAACAUAACAUUUGACAUCCCAAUUAGGAUCUGGC